Molecule: ribosomal RNA, 303 nt
Filed under: uncultured bacterium
Lineage: Bacteria
Description: partial 16S ribosomal RNA
Rfam family: Bacterial small subunit ribosomal RNA
Source: RNAcentral
AGCAGUAGCCGCGGGAAUACGUAGGUCCCGAGCGUUGUCCGGAUUUAUUGGGCGUAAAGGGAGCGCAGGCGGUUUAGUAAGUCUGAAGUUAAAGGCAUUGGCUCAACCAAUGUAUGCUUUGGAAACUGUUAGACUUGAGUGCAAGAGGGGAGAGUGGAAUUCCUAGUGUAGCGGUGAAAUGCGUAGAUAUUAGGAAGAACACCAGUGGCGAAGGCGACUUUCUGGACGAAGACUGACGCUGAGGCGCGAAAGCCAGGGGAGCAAACGGGAUUAGAUACCCGGGUAGUCCCUGUCUCUUAUACA